Molecule: long non-coding RNA, 5438 nt
Filed under: Capsella rubella
Lineage: Eukaryota; Viridiplantae; Streptophyta; Magnoliopsida; Brassicales; Brassicaceae
Description: long non-coding RNA (CRUB_LNC002047)
Source: RNAcentral
AUAAACACACAAGUUCGGUCACGAAACUAAGACAAAAUAUGUCUUUUUGAUUCAUAUACGUUUAUAAACGUCAAUAUGUGUACCAAUUUUAUGGUGGUUCAAGAGUUAGUGCAUUCAUUAAGGUUUAGAAUCCCAUAGUUCAAAUUAUACUAGAAGUUACAAUCAUGGUUGGCCACAAUGAACGCCUUAAAUGACAAGAAUAUAGAAUUUCCACAAGUUUGGAAUAUUAGUAUGAAUUUGGUGUAGAUUCUCUGAUAAAAAAUAAGAAAAGAAAUGUAAAUGUUUAUGAAUGUGAAAGAGAGAACAGACCUUGAAGGCCAAGCUUAGAAAGCAUGAGUCGUCCUCCAGGUUGCAUAAACUCACCCAUCAUUCUCUCUGGUUCUCUCAUGUCCCUCUCUAUCACAUGUACUCGACGCCCGUCCUAUUAAUCAAAAAUUAGUUAGCAUAAGGUUGUUCGUCCCAACCCAAAAUAUUGCUGUAAAAUUAUUAUGCAAAAGCGUAUCGAGGAUCACUCUGAAAACAUGAUUUUGUACAAAAAAAAAAAAAAUCUCUAGUCGUCAAUUUUUACAAUUUUACUUUUUAUCUCUAGAAACUACAAAUCAAUCAUACAAAAUAAAAUAAAAAUAUGCUUUAUAAGUCUAGUAUAUAUCUUUAAAAUGUUUUCACAGUCACACACAUUAAAUUUUUAAAUUCUUCAAAUAGAUUUUGGAUUGGACUCCGUAAGAACUUUAAUUUGAUACAUUAUAAAUAGUAUCUUACAAACUUGGCCGUAAUAAAGAAAGAUUAUAAUUAACAGUAGUAUUUUCUUAUUUAAAAAAUUGACUACUCGGAAGAUUGUUGUCACAACCCAAAAUAUGGCAACAGAAAUAUAUUAUGCAAAAUAACAAUAAUCAUAGUGUAUAUAGUUAUUAUCUUAUUCAUUCAUGCACAUUUAUUAAACAAGAAAACAACAAUCAAGUUAAAUACCUUAGCAAGAGCAUAUGCGAGAGCCGAGCCGCCGACACCAGCUCCAACGAUGAUGACAUCGGCAGCACCGUCUCUUCUCUUCUCUGCUGUCGCAUCCGCCAUCUCCACGGUCGGCUUCUUUUUCUUGUUUGUAAAGUAGAACACAGUCCACGUUAUAGGGAAGACGAGUAAUGUCCAUAAACAAAUGUGCGUAAAAGCCAUAUCCAUAUCUAUCAGACUAUAACUAUGAUAUAUGAGCUUGCUUCUUAGAAUGGUUUUAGAUUAUAUAAUGCAAAGAUACGUCAGUUUGGACGUGGCGUCACCACAUGUUAACUUUUGAUAUAUAUCGAUAUUGUUUGAAAGCAAUAAAUUGAAAUGUUCUGUUGUCCACACAACUGUAAUGAUUUAUGAGCUGUCUACGUUGGAGUUUACAAACGAUAUUUAUAUUUCAGAUACAAACACAAAGCCACGGGCCACCCUAGUUAAUGAUUUUGUUAGUAUAUAGAGCAAGCGACUUCAAUGUAGCAUUCAAAUUAUUGAUACCUUUGAUACUGUUGAGUGACUAAUUAAAAAAUAGUAACGCUACAUGUAGCAAUCAGUCCACAACAUCGGCAAAGAUAAAAUAAAACAAUUAAUUUCCUCCAUCUUUUAUUUAUGGCUGAGAGACAUCAAAGAAAAAUCUGGAAACAUCGAACCACCCUUGAGUAAUUUAACUGAAAUGAUAUCUUAUACAUAUAUGUAUUCAUAUAUUUAGUGUUAUAUAUACAUAACUUUAUAAUAUAAGUACCUUUAUACAGAAUGAUAUGUUUGAACGCGGAAUGAUUAAAUCAUUGACAACCCAAAGUCAAACCUAUAAGAUAAUCUUUUUUGAUUUUCGAAAUGUGUUCAUAAAAAGUUUAACAUAAUGGAAUAUAUAUAUAAAACUAAUUAAGCAUUAUAGUGCAGUUUAAUUUUCGAGUUGCAUGUGUGUUAUAAGUUAUAAAAUAGUUUAAAACUAAAAGUAACCUUCCAACAUACAAAAGUUUUUUAAUAAACUAAAAAUUAGUCUUAAGAUAAAUUAGUAUAAGAAUUAUGCGGAGAUGAUAGAUUAAUCUUUGAUUGUAAUGCUUCUUUAAUUUGUUUUGCACGUGUUUUAUAUACACGAUGUUACAAACAAAUAUACAGGGAAAUAAAAGUAACAUAUAUUCCUAUACUCCCCCAAACUCUUCCAUACAGUAAACAUACAUGUUUUACAUCUUACAUGUUUUUAAUUUUUUGUUUUUUGGGACAAAACAAAACAUCUUGCAUGUAUACUAUAUAGAAAUAGGUACACACUAUUAUUUAUGAGAAAUCACAUAAUAUUCCACCAACUAUAUUUAGUCAUUUCUAUAAUUGGAUCUUUUUUUUGUCAACAAUUGGACUUGUUUUCUCUGGGUAUAAAUUUAAUAGAGUACACAAAAACAGAGCAUUUAAAAAAAAAGGAGAUUAAUACUCUUUUUCUUUCUUUCUUGAAAACUUAAUCUUAGUACUUCUUCUGUUUCACAAAAAGUGGUUAUUCUAGAUUUUAUUUUUGUUUAAUAAAAAAUGUUAUUUUAUAUUGUCAACGCAUCUUUUACACUAAAAUCCUAAUUUUACCUUUAAUUUAAAAUUCAUAAAACUAUUAAAUAGAGGCAUAUUAAAGACUCGUCUAAUAGUAUAUUCUUUGCAAAAUUAUGGCUCUAGAUGGACAAUUUAACGCAAUUAAAGACUCGUCUAAUACAGUAGGUGGAUCUAGGCAUUACCAAUUAAUGCGAUGCUUCGAAGAUGCACAAUCACUAAAGAUUGGUGUUCAAUGUUCUUAUUAAACUGCAUUACAGUUUUGACAAAUGCACAAUCACUAAGAUUGGUGUUCAAUGUUCUUAUUAAACUGCAUUACAAUUUUGACAAAUGCACAAUCACUAAGAUUGGUGCUCAAUAUAUGCCUCAAUGUUUAGAGAGCAGUUGCUGCGGCCAUAUAUCUUUUGCGAUACGCGGCUGCAUUUGCUGGAAACAACAUAUGGGUAACUCCUUCAGCCUUGAGAUGGGGAACCAACAUUUUCAUAGCCAACUAGUGAUUCACACAGAACAUACAUCAACAAAAUAUAUAUAUGUAUAUAAUGUCGAAUAGUGAUUGUAAACUAAAAAAGAGUGUUACUAAAAAUAUACAUAUUAUAGAAAUAAUAUGAUAUAAAAAGAGAUGAAAUUAAUGACUUACACCAAAAAGCCUAAGGCUAUGCCAAAUGCGAAGGGGAGAGGGAAAUGGAGAGAGCAGAUGGGCAGUGGAGGAUAAAGUGAUAGCACAAAGAUGAUAGAUGAGAGAGAGCGGACGAGGAUUCAUGCCGCCGAGCAAAGCCAUCAUCCCUGACGUGCGAAACCCGCCACUAGUGAGGUAAUCAUAGCAACCUUGUCUCAUUGCCUCUUUGGCUUCGUCCGUUGAUGCAACUAGUGCUUGAGAAAAUGCGUUUCCUAAUAUGUUCACUGUCGCUGACAUUGGCUUCACCAUACAAAAACAUUCAUUUUUAAGUAUAAUUAUGUGAAGUUGGUAACAAGUUUAGAAAUUUGGAAUUUUCAUAUAUUAAUUAGUAUGUGACGUAGGCUCACCUUGCGGAUACUAUAAAAGGACUUAAUGAUUAUACGAAGUUUUGGAGGUACCUGCAAAAUAAGUCUAAGAUUAUAAUGUCAAACGUAUAUAGAGUUAUAUAUGGGACUUCUUACAAAUGUUAGAAUGGUGUCUAUGUACUAGUAUAACAUAUUAUAUAUUUCUAUGUUUAGUUCUUUCUUUUUCUUUUUAUUGAUCAAAGAUGAAUCAGCCCAUUGCGUUCGUACCUGAGGAGCUAUAUUGUUCUUCAUGAAAGUUUCCAUCUCGCCGUUUGCAAUAGAAGGAAAAUUGUCGGGGAAAAGCUCAAACCCACAACGAACCUCAGUGCUGCUUAUUUGAUACAACAUGGCGAACGAGGGUUUACACAAUACCAAGUGCAAGUUUUCGGGUUCCUCAAGCUGACAAUUAUUUGAGAUGUAACCUACUAGGUAAGAUAAAACCUCCUCCUAUAUCAAAUUAUUUAGUACAUUGAUGCUUAUUAAGUGAAUCAGUGUACCAUAUAUAUAGUGAGUACCAUCAUCUCAACGAUUUGAGUAAUGGAGAAGUUUGAAGUCUUUUCGUUUAAAAGAGUAUACUUACAUUGUUGUCGCUAAGAGAACGACGAAGGUUUGAGUAGCAACCAUCGCAUACCACAGUAAGAGGUGCAAAGGCUGUUGUUUCUUCGCCUUCUUUAUUUUUGUAUGUCACUCCUUUGAUAACUCCUUUUUCUUCUAUCAAAGACUUCACCGUUCCUUCUUCGAGCCUCACACUGCCAAUUAGUAAGAGGAUAAUCAAAGCUUACUAAUUAACGAUUUCUAGUUGGAUUUUGUAUAUAUAUUUUAGGUAAUAGAAAAUAGAAUAUGAUGAUGAAAUUUAUCGAUUUAGACCCACAUGCUAUGGCAAAUAAUAGAUUAUCAGAUUCUCAUGAUGUAGCUUACCAGAUCAGGGGAACAUUCUGGUUUCGUUUUAAAUUAUGUGUAACACACGAUUUAUAUGUUAAUACAAGUUAGUGAGUUUUAGAUUAUUUUUCCUUUUAUUUUUGUUAAGAGUUCUUCGUCAACCCCAAGUCAAAGAAAAAUUGGGUCAAGGAAAAAUUGAGUCUUUACCAAGCCAUUUUGUUUAGUUUUUUGCUUUGUGUAAAUCAAUAAAAACCAAAAAGUAUUAUAUCGGUGAGAUAUAUUUUUUUUUCUCUAGGACAUUUUUAAUAGGAGAGUAUUUUAGAGCAAUGUUUUCUUUAAUGGAGAAAAUAUAAGAUAUUUUAUUAAUGAAAAUAUUGCUCUAAAAUACCCCCUUAAAAUGGUCUUAUACCAGUUCUAUGGUGAGAUCUUAAAACGUUUAUCUGUUAAAAAAAUAGAAAAAAGGGAGAUACACAAAAAAUGUUCUCAAACAAAACACUAUUAUAGUUUUCAUCUCUAGGUUACUUUGGUUCUCCAUCAGAUUUAAUGAAUAAUAACAAAAUUUCUCAACACAUAUAUAUGAUAUAUAGUGUCAAAAUUUAGUGAACAUAAUAUAUAGAGACGUACUUGGGAAGAGAUGAAGCCUUUUGGCGUAGACGUUGGACGAAUCGGCCAUUGUGAAAUAUUCGAGCAGAAGGUUCAUAAGAAAAGUUGUUACUUUCCACCGGAAAAGGUGCCACUGCCUCUUUGCCAUCUUUAUAAACUGCAAACCCGGUGGCUCUCUGUGCAUCUAUUCCCUCUAAACAAUCUAUAUAUACGUAUAUAAACCCACAAAGUUGAUCAUGAUUAACUAAAUGACAAUAUGGCUUUCUUGAUUUACUUACAUAAAGGAAAGAGAAAGAGAGAACAGACCUUGAAGCCCAAGCUUAAAAAGCAUGAGUCGUCCUCCAGGCUGCAUAAACUCACCCAUCAUUCUCUCUGGUUCUUUCAUGUCCCUCUCUAUCACAUGUACUCGACGCCCG